GGUCCCGUGGUGUAAUGGUUAUCACUCAGGACUUUGAAUCCUGCGAUCCGAGUUCGAUUCUCGGCGGGACCU
Gigaspora rosea is the source of this 72-nucleotide non-coding RNA. The record is from the annotation of a GenBank genome assembly. NCBI's taxonomy places the organism in Eukaryota, Fungi, Glomeromycota, Glomeromycetes, Diversisporales, Gigasporaceae.